This 570-nucleotide ribosomal RNA is filed under the name uncultured Halomonas sp. Its description in RNAcentral is "bacterial LSU rRNA". It matches the Rfam family "Bacterial large subunit ribosomal RNA", at positions 705 to 1268 of the family's 2925-position model. The record is from RNAcentral. Lineage: Bacteria; Pseudomonadati; Pseudomonadota; Gammaproteobacteria; Oceanospirillales; Halomonadaceae.
CCGGGUAAGCCCGAUGCGGUCCAUGAUCCGGCCACCAGGCCCAGGUGGGCCGCGUCGACAUCAACUGGAGGCCCGAAACCAGGAUCUGUUGAAAAAGAUUUGGAUGACUUGUGGAUCGGAGUGAAAGGCUAAUCAAGCUCGGAGAUAGCUGGUUCUCCUCGAAAGCUAUUUAGGUAGCGCCUCACGUAUUACCGCCGGGGGUAGAGCACUGUUUCGGCUAGGGGGGUCAUCCCUACUUACCAACCCGAGGCAAACUCCGAAUACCGGUGAGUAGAGCGUGGGAGACACACGGCGAGUGCUAACGUCCGUCGUGAAAAGGGAAACAACCCCAGACCGUCAGCUAAGGUCCCCGAAAUCCUGGUUAAGUGGGAAACGAUGUGGGAAGGCUCAGACAGCUAGGAGGUUGGCUUAGAAGCAGCCAUCCUUUAAAGAAAGCGUAAUAGCUCACUAGUCGAGUCGGCCUGCGCGGAAGAUGUAACGGGGCUAAACCAGGUACCGAAGCUACGGGUUCAUUCUUAGGAAUGAGCGGUAGAGGAGCGUCGUGUAAGCCAAUGAAGGUGGAUUGAGAAG